UGGGGAAUUUUGGACAAUGGGCGAAAGCCUGGAUCCAGCAAUGCCGCGUGUGUGAAGGAAGGCCUUCGGGUUGUAAAGCACUUUUGUCCGGAAAGAAAUCCUUGGCUCUAAUACAGUCGGGGGAUGACGGUACCGGAAGAAUAAGCACCGGCUAACUACGUGCCAGCAGCCGCGGUAAUACGUAGGGUGCAAGCGUUAAUCGGAAUUACUGGGCGUAAGCGUGCGCAGGCGGUUUGCUAAGACCGAUGUGAAAUCCCCGGGCUCAACCUGGGAACUGCAUUGGUGACUGGCAGGCUAGAGUAUGGCAGAGGGGGGUAGAAUUCCACGUGUAGCAGUGAAAUGCGUAGAGAUGUGGAGGAAUACCGAUGGCGAAGGCAGCCCCCCGGGCCAAUACUGACGCUCAUGCACGAAAGCGUGGGGAGCAAACAGGAUUAGAUACCCUGGUAGUCCACGCCCUAAAACGAUGUCAACUAGUUGUUGGGGAUUCAUUUCCUUAGUAACGUAGCUAACGCGUGAAGUUGACCGCCUGGGGAGUACGGUCGCAAGAUU
RNAcentral lists this ribosomal RNA (549 nucleotides) under uncultured bacterium. RNAcentral describes it as "partial 16S ribosomal RNA". It matches the Rfam family "Bacterial small subunit ribosomal RNA", at positions 355 to 895 of the family's 1533-position model. The record is from RNAcentral.